UGCAAGUCGAGCGGGCGUAGCAAUACGUCAGCGGCAGACGGGUGAGUAACGCGUGGGAACGUACCUUUUGGUUCGGAACAACACAGGGAAACUUGUGCUAAUACCGGAUAAGCCCUUACGGGGAAAGAUUUAUCGCCGAAAGAUCGGCCCGCGUCUGAUUAGCUAGUUGGUGAGGUAAUGGCUCACCAAGGCGACGAUCAGUAGCUGGUCUGAGAGGAUGAUCAGCCACAUUGGGACUGAGACACGGCCCAAACUCCUACGGGAGGCAGCAGUGGGGAAUAUUGGACAAUGGGGGCAACCCUGAUCCAGCCAUGCCGCGUGAGUGAUGAAGGCCCUAGGGUUGUAAAGCUCUUUUGUGCGGGAAGAUAAUGACGGUACCGCAAGAAUAAGCCCCGGCUAACUUCGUGCCAGCAGCCGCGGUAAUACGAAGGGGGCUAGCGUUGCUCGGAAUCACUGGGCGUAAAGGGUGCGUAGGCGGGUCUUUAAGUCAGGGGUGAAAUCCUGGAGCUCAACUCCAGAACUGCCUUUGAUACUGAAGAUCUUGAGUUCGGGAGAGGUGAGUGGAACUGCGAGUGUAGAGGUGAAAUUCGUAGAUAUUCGCAAGAACACCAGUGGCGAAGGCGGCUCACUGG
Molecule: ribosomal RNA, 632 nt
Filed under: Bradyrhizobium japonicum
Lineage: Bacteria; Pseudomonadati; Pseudomonadota; Alphaproteobacteria; Hyphomicrobiales; Nitrobacteraceae
Description: bacterial SSU rRNA
Rfam family: Bacterial small subunit ribosomal RNA
Source: RNAcentral